UCCUCAUUAGCUCAGUUGGUUAGAGCACCUGACUGUUAAUCAGGGGGUCCCAGGUUCAAGUCCUGGAUGAGGAG
This 74-nucleotide transfer RNA is filed under the name Bacteroidota bacterium. RNAcentral describes it as "tRNA-Asn". It matches the Rfam family "tRNA". Rfam says of the family: Transfer RNA (tRNA) molecules are approximately 80 nucleotides in length. Their secondary structure includes four short double-helical elements and three loops (D, anti-codon, and T loops). Further hydrogen bonds mediate the characteristic L-shaped molecular structure. tRNAs have two regions of fundamental functional importance: the anti-codon, which is responsible for specific mRNA codon recognition, and the 3' end, to which the tRNAs corresponding amino acid is attached (by aminoacyl-tRNA synthetases). tRNAs cope with the degeneracy of the genetic code in two manners: having more than one tRNA (with a specific anti-codon) for a particular amino acid; and 'wobble' base-pairing, i.e. permitting non-standard base-pairing at the 3rd anti-codon position. Lineage: Bacteria; Pseudomonadati; Bacteroidota. RNAcentral also lists the same sequence under 2 other names. The record is from RNAcentral.